Molecule: ribosomal RNA, 498 nt
Filed under: uncultured bacterium
Lineage: Bacteria
Description: partial 16S ribosomal RNA
Rfam family: Bacterial small subunit ribosomal RNA
Source: RNAcentral
ACUCAAAUGAAUUGACGGGGGCCCGCACAAGCGGUGGAGCAUGUGGUUUAAUUCGACGCAACGCGAAGAACCUUACCUGGGCUCGAAAUGCUAUGGACCGGGGUGGAAACAUCCCUUCCCCGCAAGGGGCCGUAGUAUAGGUGCUGCAUGGCUGUCGUCAGCUCGUGUCGUGAGAUGUUGGGUUAAGUCCCGCAACGAGCGCAACCCUUACUUCCAGUUGCCACCAUUUAGUUGGGCACUCUGGCAGAACCGCCUCGGAUAACGGGGAGGAAGGUGGGGAUGACGUCAAGUCCUCAUGGCCUUUAUGUCCAGGGCUACACACGUGCUACAAUGGCCGGUACAAACCGUCGCAAACCCGCGAGGGGGAGCUAAUCGGAGAAAGCCGGCCUCAGUUCGGAUCGCAGUCUGCAACUCGACUGCGUGAAGCUGGAAUCGCUAGUAAUCGCGGAUCAGAACGCCGCGGUGAAUACGUUCCCGGGCCUUGUACACACCGCCCGU